Molecule: ribosomal RNA, 261 nt
Filed under: uncultured bacterium
Lineage: Bacteria
Description: partial 16S ribosomal RNA
Rfam family: Bacterial small subunit ribosomal RNA
Source: RNAcentral
GUCCUAGCAGUAAACGAUGGCCACUAGGUGUGGGGGUGGUUGACCCUUCCGUGCCGAAGCUAACGCAUUAAGUGGCCCGCCUGGGGAGGUACGGUCGCAAGACUAAAACUACAAGGAAUUGACGGGGACCCGCACAAGCAGCGGAGCGUGUGGUUUAAUUCGAUGCAACGCGAAGAACCUUACCAAGGCUUGACAUGCACUCGCAACACCCUGAAAGGGGUGCCUCUUCGGACGGGUGCACAGAUGUUGCAUGGCUGUCGU